GCGGGCGUGGCGGAAUGGCAGACGCUAUGGCCUUAGGAGCCAUUUCCCGAAAGGGAGUAGAGGUUCGAGUCCUCUCGCCCGCACCA
RNAcentral lists this transfer RNA (86 nucleotides) under Candidatus Uhrbacteria bacterium. Its description in RNAcentral is "tRNA-Leu". It matches the Rfam family "tRNA". From Rfam's summary of the family: Transfer RNA (tRNA) molecules are approximately 80 nucleotides in length. Their secondary structure includes four short double-helical elements and three loops (D, anti-codon, and T loops). Lineage: Bacteria; Candidatus Uhriibacteriota. The record is from RNAcentral.